AGUUCACAGCAUCUCGCCAGUUUAGAGAGCUCAGUGAUAUUCUGAUCGACUUUGUUUAAGAUACCUAUAGCGUAGAACAUCAAUUUUCUACAUGAAUUUUCAACGCUUUUCCCUAUUUUUAUGGAAAUUCGUCUGCUUUUAUGAAAAGUAAAUCUACUUAUAUAGUUAGCGGUGCACGUGUAUGCAGACGAGAAAAACAGGGUCGGAUGAUAGAGGAUGAUUAGGUAGACAGAUGGAACCUAAGAGGAACCAGACAGCGCCAGAAGAACGGGGGCCGGGACGAGAAACGUGUCGCCUGUUUCUCGACUGACGUAAGCGACUCGUUAUCGGGACGACCUUAAGGCCAAACAAGCGCGACCGCGCCAAGAAUCCAAGCGAUUCUACGCUCAAGCGCGAACACUUCUACACUGACAAUGCACGUUGUACAUGCUCUCGUGAUUCGGUUCCAGGAUUCGAUAGUAUGGACGACCCGAAAUUUGAAUAAAUUUUCAAAUGGAACUCGUUUUAUUUCGAUGAGAUAAGUAAGAUUGAUUGGAAAUUUACGAGUAAUUAAAAUGUUGGACUUUUUAAGGUAGAAACAGUGUCCGAAUGCUCGAUGAAAGAUUAUUUUCAAGAAACGAUACUUGUGGAAUUUAUUCUGCUCAGUAACAUUUUGAUCAAUAUAUUAUUAUUCUUACUAUAUUAAAUAUUAUUUAAAUUUUAUUGCGUUACCAAGGAACAUAAGACUGAAAAUUAGUAUGACAAUUAUAUCUAAAAUAGUAGAAACUACAGAAGAAGAUUUUUUGAAGUGGCGGAGAUUUUCUGGACAUAAAUUUUAUACAAACUGAAAUAGCGAACGAAAAUAAUGAGGAUGUACCUUCUCGUGUCAAAAGGUUUGGGAAAAGAUUUGGAUGAUUUGAAGCAAAAAAAAAAAAAAAAGAACCUAAGAAUGUAAAGUUACUGGUGUUAACAAAUAUAGACAACUCAUCCAAAGGAAAAUA
Bombus terrestris (buff-tailed bumblebee) is the source of this 980-nucleotide long non-coding RNA. RefSeq lists it as uncharacterized. The record is from RefSeq and is a predicted model, not a curated record. The transcript is spliced from 3 exons. NCBI's taxonomy places the organism in Eukaryota, Metazoa, Arthropoda, Insecta, Hymenoptera, Apidae.